RNAcentral lists this ribosomal RNA (629 nucleotides) under Harveylithon sp. RNAcentral describes it as "partial 28S ribosomal RNA". It matches the Rfam family "Eukaryotic large subunit ribosomal RNA", at positions 2216 to 2824 of the family's 3401-position model. Lineage: Eukaryota; Rhodophyta; Florideophyceae; Corallinales; Porolithaceae. The record is from RNAcentral.
GUCAAAGUGAAGAGAUUCAAACAAGCGCGGGUAAACAGCGGGAGUAACUAUGACUCUCUUAAGGUAGCCAAAUGCCUCGUCAUCUAAUUAGUGACGCGCAUGAAUGGAUUAACGAGAUUCCUACUGUCCCUAUCUGCUUCUAGCGAAACCACAGCCGAGGGAACGGGCUCGGCGAAAUCGGCGGGGAAAGAAGACCCUGUUGAGCUUGACUCUAUUCUAAUUUUGUGACGCAAGUUAGGAGGUGUAGCAUAGGUGGGAGACUUCGGUCGCCAAUGAAAUACCACUACUCUUAAUCUUGUUUUACUUAUGGCGUUAGACUGCACGAUCUAUAUGGUCUGUUUUGGCAUCAACUUGGAUUACUAGAUACGCACUUGUGUGUGUAUUCUACCUUGGAGCAGCGCGCCUGACAUAUUUAGGAGGGGAGUUUGGCUGGGGCGGCACAUCUUCUACAAGACAACGAAGGUGUCCAAAGAUAAGCUCAGUGAGAACAGAAAUCUCACGUAGCGCAAAAGGGUAAAAGCUUGUUUGAUUUCGAUUUUCAGUGUGAGUUGAAAACGCGAAAGCGUGGCCUAUCGAUCCUUUCACAAUUCGAGGUUUGAAGCGAGAGGUGUCAGAAAAGUUACCACAGG